This 1697-nucleotide ribosomal RNA is filed under the name Sorineuchora shanensis. RNAcentral's name for it is "SSU rRNA". It matches the Rfam family "Eukaryotic small subunit ribosomal RNA", at positions 228 to 1831 of the family's 1831-position model. Lineage: Eukaryota; Metazoa; Arthropoda; Insecta; Blattodea; Pseudophyllodromiidae. The record is from RNAcentral.
CUCGCGCCCGUACGGCUGGUGACUCUGGAUAAACCUUUUGCCGAUCGCGCGGUCCCGCACCGGCGACGCGUCUUUCAAAUGUCUGCCUUAUCAACUCGUUGGUAGGUUAUGCGCCUACCACGGUUAUAACGGGUAACGGGGAAUCAGGGUUCGAUUCCGGAGAGGGCGCACGAGAAAUGGCGACCACAUCCAAGGAAGGCAGCAGGCGCGCAACUUACCCAUUUCUGGCCCAGAGAGGUAGUGACGAAGAAUAACGAUACGGGACUCAUCCGAGGCCCCGUAAUCGGAAUGAGAACAGCGCAAACUCUUUAACGAGUACCUACUGGAGGGCAAGUCAGGUGCCAGCAGCCGCGGUAAUUCCUGCUCCAGUAGCGUAUAUUAAAGUUGUUGCGGUUAAAAAGCUCGUAGUCGGACUUGUGUCGGGCCCUGCCGGUUCACAGCCCGUCUGUGUCCAACUGGCACGAGGUCGUCGACGUCCAGCCGGUGGCCCUUCGUUUCGGAACGCCCGCGCGCCUCCGCCCCGUCCGCGGGGAUCGGUUCCGCAGAGCGUGUCCGAGGAGGGCCUGGUCCUAACCCGGCGCGGGUGCUCUUAACCGGGUGCCCCGUCGGGCCGGCAUGUUUACUUUGAACAAAUUAGAGUGCUCAGAGCAGGCUGCAAUACGCCAGAAUAUCGUCUGCAUGGAAUAAUGGAACAGGACCUCGGUUCUAUUUUGUUGGUUUUAGGAAUACCCGAGGUAAUGAUCAAUAGAGACAGACGUGGGCAUUCGUAUUGCGGCGUUAGAGGUGAAAUUCUUGGAUCGUCGCAGGACGAACCGGAGCGAAAGCGUUUGCCAAGAAUGCUUUCCUUGAUCAAGAACGAAAGUUAGACGAUCGAAGGCGAUCAGAUACCGCCCUAGUUCUAACCAUAAACGAUGCCAGCCAGCAAUCGGUCGAAGUUCCUCCGAUGACUCGCCCGGCGGCCCCCGGGAAACCAAAGCUAUUGGGUUCCGGGGGAAGUAUGGUUGCAAAGCUGAAACUUAAAGGAAUUGACGGAAGGGCACAACAAGUCGUGGGGCCUGCGGUUCAAUUUGACUCAACACGGGGAAGCUUACCAGACCAGGACACAAGUAGGAUUGACAGAUUAAGAGCUCUUUCUCGAUUUUGUGGGUUGUGGUGCAUGGCCGUUUCUAGUUGGUGGAUUGAUCUGUCUGCUUAAUUGCGAUAACGAACGAGACUCUAGCCUGCUAACUAGUCGUGAGGUAUCCUCGCGCUACCGACGAUGCAAAAAUCUUCUUAGAGGGACAGGCGGCCUCUAGCCGCACGAGACGGAGCGAAAACAGGUCUGUGAUGCCCUUAGAUGUUCUGGGCGGCACGCGCGCCACACUGGAGGUAUCAAAGUGUCCUCCUUGCCCGAGAGGGCCGGGUAACCCCGACAAAUGCUUUCGUGCUUGGGAUUGGGGUCUGAAAUUAUCCCCAUGAACGAGGAAUGUCUAGUAAACGUGUGUCACCAGCUCACGUUGAUUACGUCCCUGCCCUUUGUACACACCGCCCGUCGCUACUACAGAUUGAACGGUUUAGUGAGGGCUUUGGACCGUCGGGCGCAAAGGUGCUAGCGCACCGGGUCGCCGCUUCGGCGGGAAGAUGUCCGAACUUGACCGUUUAGAUGAAGUAAAAGUCGUAACAAGGUAUUCGUUGGUGAACCAGCGGAUGGAUCAUUA